UUAGAUAUUAGUUAGCGAAACUUUGGAAACAUGAGCAUUUUAUUAGUUAAUCAGCUUAUAUAUAUAGAGAGAGAGAGAGAGCUAGGCUCCUGCGCUUUCGAAAGUACGGAGGCUUUCUUACUUGCAAGUUGAUUUCAAUGAUGAGACAUCUGAUUCGACGAUCGGCUACGUUAGCUAUGAUCUACACUAUUAGAACUAUUUAAAAAUUAAAUUUCAUAAAUUUUUGACUUCAUUCGCCUAAUGAAUGGCUAGCCUCAAAAUAAACAAUUGAAAACAAAAAUCUCAUAAAAAUAAUAAUAAAAGACUCAAAUUUCAAAUCAAAAGUAUGCCUUUCGCUCUCGAUACUAAGUAGAAUUUUCUAUUAAAAGUUUCAUAUAAUUUAAAUUAUUCUACAUCAUUAAAUUUACAAACAUGCCAUAUCGGCUAUUAAAAUAGUCAUUUUUUAGACCUUUUGAUCAUUUGAUAAAUAAUGUCAAAAAAUUAUAAAAUUUAAUUUCUAAAUAGUUAUAAUAGUGUAAAUCAUACUUAACGAAUGUGAUUGUCAAAUCAGAUGUUCUAUUAUGAAAAAUAAUUUACAAGCACACUUAACAUUAAUUGUAGCCGAACUCUGUAUAUAAAACUAGGCUAGAAUACUAUUAAUAGCACAAAGUUAUUGGUGCUAUUAAGUUUUUGGCCCUUAGAUGAAGCAAUCUAUGGUUAGAAUGAUAGUAGUUUUCUAGGGUUGAGUGGAUGGUUAGCUGAAUAGUAUGAUCUAACGGAUGAAAAUGGUCAAAAAAAUUGAUCUAACGACAGAAAACCUGAUAGCAUCAAGUGUUUGGUGCUAUCGAUAACAUUGUAGUCGGACUCCAUAUAUAGAACUAGGCUAGAAUAUUAUUAAUAGCACCAAGUUAUUGGUGCUAUUAAGUUUUCGGCCCUUGGAUGAAGCGAUCUACAAUUAGGAUGAUAGUGGUCCCCUAAGGUUGAAUGGGUGCAUGGUUGGUUGAAUAGUAUAAUCUAAUGGCAAAAAAUGGUCAAAGAAAUUAAUUUAACGGUAGAAAACUUUGUUGCAUCAAGUGUUUGAUACUAUCGAUAACGUUAUAGCUGGACUCUAUAUAUAUAUAGUAGAUCUUGUGUACUAUUAAAAGCACGGAGAUCUUCAUACUCCUAAGCCGUUUUCAAUGAUAGGACUUUCGAAUUAACGAUCGGCUCCGUUAGACUUGGUUUAGCGUAUUUGAAGUAUCUAAAAAAUAAAUUUUAUAAUUUUUCGAUAUAAUUUACCUAGUGAUCGAAAGGAUUCAAAAUUAACAACUUUUAAUUGAUGUAUAUCGUUUUCAAGUUUAACGGUAUAGAAGUAUUCAAAUCAGAUGAAAUUUUGAUAGAAAAUUUUUUACUAUUUACUGCAGGAUUAAUAUCUCUGAUAAAAAAUUUUAGUACUAUAUCACUACUUUUUGUGAGAUUUUUAUAUUUAGCUGUUAUAUAUAUAUAUAUAGAGAGAGAGAGAGAGAGAGAGAGAGAGAGAGUAGCGUUACUGUGCUAUUAGGAGCACAGCAACCAUUGUGCUCUUGACUUCUUAACCAUCUAUCAAUUUUUAUGGAUGGUUGGGGUGAAAGUGAACAGAAAUUAAGGAGAAAUUGGAUGUUUCAAUUUCUCUGCUUUUUAAAUAUUUCUUCAAUUUCUCUUUUCUCUCAUCCUAACCCUCAUCAAUAUUGAUGGAUGGUUAGAAAAUUAAGAGUAUAAGAACUGCUGU
This 1726-nucleotide long non-coding RNA is filed under the name Ananas comosus (pineapple). Its description in RNAcentral is "long non-coding RNA (ACOM_LNC025200)". Lineage: Eukaryota; Viridiplantae; Streptophyta; Magnoliopsida; Poales; Bromeliaceae. The record is from RNAcentral.